GCCGACCUAGCUCAGUGGUAGAGCGCGUGCCUUUUAACCACGUGGCCGUGGGUUCGAUCCCCACGGUCGGCG
Molecule: transfer RNA, 72 nt
Filed under: Triticum dicoccoides
Lineage: Eukaryota; Viridiplantae; Streptophyta; Magnoliopsida; Poales; Poaceae
Description: tRNA tRNA-Lys
Rfam family: tRNA
About the family: Transfer RNA (tRNA) molecules are approximately 80 nucleotides in length.
Source: RNAcentral